AAGCGUUGUUCGGAAUUACUGGGCGUAAAGGGCUCGUAGGUGGCCCCAUAAGUCAGACGUGAAAUCCCUCGGCUCAACCGAGGAACUGCGUCUGAGACUGCGGGGCUUGAAUCCGGGAGAGGGAUGCGGAAUUCCAGGUGUAGCGGUGAAAUGCGUAGAUAUCUGGAGGAACACCGGUGGCGAAGGCGGCAUCCUGGACCGGUAUUGACACUGAGGAGCGAAAGCCAGGGGAGCAAACGGG
RNAcentral lists this ribosomal RNA (241 nucleotides) under uncultured bacterium. RNAcentral's name for it is "partial 16S ribosomal RNA". It matches the Rfam family "Bacterial small subunit ribosomal RNA", at positions 536 to 776 of the family's 1533-position model. The record is from RNAcentral.